Molecule: non-coding RNA, 243 nt
Organism: Paramisgurnus dabryanus
Lineage: Eukaryota; Metazoa; Chordata; Actinopteri; Cypriniformes; Cobitidae
Source: RefSeq, a predicted model, not a curated record
AUUUGGGGAAUUGUAUAGUAGCCGUGAAUGUGAGGGGUCAGAUGGAGCAGCAUUUUUGUCUUGUUGCAGGAACCACUGCUAACUUAAACCAGGCCUAUGAUGCCCUUAGAAAAUGUCAAACUGACGAAUACCGAGCUAACUACAUUAAUCUGAGCCUGCCAGACGAAUGCAUGUCCUGAAGUUAACGGUGAUCGAGAUGGAGGUGGGCGCUAAUAUGGCUGACAACCGUGAACAUACACAGAC